GAUGAACGCUGGCGGCGUGCCUAAUACAUGCAAGUCGAGCGAACGGACGAGAAGCUUGCUUCUCUGAUGUUAGCGGCGGACGGGUGAGUAACACGUGGAUAACCUACCUAUAAGACUGGGUUCACUUCGGGACACCGGAUCUAAUACCCGACAAUAUUUUGAACGGCAUGGUUCAAAAGUGCUAGACGGUCUUGCUCUCCCUUAUACAUGUUUCCGCGCUGCAUUAGCUAGUUGGUACGGUAACGGCUUACCAAGGCAACGAUGCAUAGCCGACCUGAGAGGGUGAUCGGCCACACUGGAACUGAGACACGGUCCAGACUCCUACGGGAGGCAGCAGUAGGGAAUCUUCCGCAAUGGGCGAAAGCCUGACGGAGCAACGCCGCGUGAGUGAUGAAGGUCUUCGGAUCGUAAAACUCUGUUAUUAGGGAAGAACAUAUGUGUAAGUAACUGUGCACAUCUUGACGGUACCUAAUCAGAAAGCCACGGCUAACUACGUG
RNAcentral lists this ribosomal RNA (497 nucleotides) under uncultured bacterium. RNAcentral describes it as "partial 16S ribosomal RNA". It matches the Rfam family "Bacterial small subunit ribosomal RNA", at positions 28 to 507 of the family's 1533-position model. The record is from RNAcentral.